This is a long non-coding RNA of Gymnodraco acuticeps, 1235 nucleotides long. RefSeq lists it as uncharacterized. NCBI's taxonomy places the organism in Eukaryota, Metazoa, Chordata, Actinopteri, Perciformes, Bathydraconidae. The record is from RefSeq and is a predicted model, not a curated record. The transcript has 3 exons.
CGGCUAAGUGUCUUCCCCAACUAACUUUUCCCGACAUAUAUAUGUAUCUUGUUCACAAUCCAUCUCCAUUCACCGGAGAGAGCCUGAAGGCUUUUAAGAGCACAGAUGCAUAUCAAUACGCCGUUGCCGGGUGGGUGAACGACACCAAGAUAUGGCAUGUCGAGAAGAUACACCUACAUGUGAUCACAGCGAAGGUCAAUCCUUCCCAGGCUUUGAACAGCAAACCAACAUCUCCAUGGAUUGUGGUGCAGGAGGACGGGACAGUGGUGAUGGCGCAUUGUACAUGCAUGGCAGGGUUAGGAGAGGUUUGUUCCCACGCAGCAGCACUUAUGGUUACAGUUGUGGCUGCUGUUGAGAAGAGAAAACCAGACAUGCACAGAGAAGCCAUGCACAUGGACACAGCCUAGCACUAAAAUGGUGAAGUACGAUGAGGUGUCUAACAUCUUCACCAUUAAAGAACAAGUUCAAGCCGAAGACCUGUUUCAGCACAUGAGACCAUCUGCUGAUGAUUUCAAGUUAUUCUGUGAACAACUCCACCAAAGUGAAGAACAAGAGACAAAGCCCAAGAAAAGUGCUAUCCUGUCGGUCAUUGAAGGCCAUUCCCACAGAUACGUACGCCAAAGACUGUACAACUGGAUCUGCCAACACCCCUUACCAGUCUGUAUCAAAGCAGUAGACUUGUACUGGAUUUGCCUGCACUGCUAGAGGAGGGUGCCAAAGUCUUUGAGGAGCUGAAUCUCACACCAGAGCAGAUGGGGUUUACAAAACGAGGACACUGCCACAAAGGCUUACCUGGUGGCUAUGCAAGAUCACCAUGAAGACAUCAAUGUUGCAGCAUCAGGGCUCAUCCUCAACCCAGAGCUGCCAUGGAUUGGUGCAUCCCCAGAUGGUGUCGUGACCUGUGCUUGCCAUGAGCCUGGCAUUUUAGAAAUUAAGUGUCCUUUCAGCGCUAAAGACUGCAGUCUACUUGAAUGCACCAAAGACUCGCAGUUCUGCCUGACUGUCCCUGAGGGAGGUGUGAUGAGCCUAAAGCUGAAUCACAGCUAUAUGUAUCAAGUGCAGGCACAAAUGCGUGUCGCAGAGGUAAUGUUCUGUGAUUUUGUUGUGUGGACACCUCAAGAACUUUUUAAACAGCGCAUCAUGUUUGAUGACGCUUUUUUUGAUGUUGCACAUUCAAAGGUGGUAAACUUAAUUAGAACAGGGAUACUACCAGAGUUGUUGGGUAAAUGGUUUAC